Non-coding RNA from Xyrichtys novacula (pearly razorfish), 4558 nucleotides. The record is from the annotation of a GenBank genome assembly. Lineage: Eukaryota; Metazoa; Chordata; Actinopteri; Labriformes; Labridae.
GGUUGGUUGGUUGGUUGUGGGAUGGGGCCCUGUAGAGCUUCCUGAUUGGCAGAUGCCUCCCUGAAUGGACGGUGGUCAGUGAUUGGCCACGUUGCGAAGGGGGGAAACCCAUUUAGAAACGCCGCAUCAUGAGCGUACAAUCAUCCCCCUGGAAAUUAAACCACGCUUUGCAUGCUUUCUUUUUUUUUACAGCAGGAUGCUCCGGGUUUGUUUUCCUCCUGGGCUGUUUCAGUGUUUCACGCCACUACAGACGACAUAACAGAAGGGAUGCACAAGAAAAGACUCUCUAAAUAUACAUGUUUUUCUCCUCUAAAGUAUGGCUUUGAUGUCAUUUCUAGGCUGUAAAGCUGCGCCCAAAUAUCCGCCGUUGGCAUACCGCACCGAUUACUUUUCGCUACCGAGUACAUUAUAUUCUUGUCAAGCAUAAUAAGAAGUGGAUGUAGAUAAACAUAUACAGGCAGGGGGUGGAUAUUAAGUUCGCAAGCAUGGAUUUAGGGAGACAUUGUACAGACGCUCGUGUGUAUAAAUGGUAUGUACAAAAGAAACCCUGGCCGCUCUGGUCUGUCGUGACGUCAAAGGGGGUUUUAAGGAGGAUGUCGGGACUAGUUGUACACAGAUUUUCUCCAUUCAUGAUCACAGCAGUGAGACGAGCUUUUCUUACCCCAUUCACACGACAAUGCGUUUGCCGAAAACCAUCUUUCGGUCGCCCUCGGGGAAGGGAAGUAAAACGAGGUCGCGCUAACAAAGCAGAGCAAGAACGCACCAUCGACUUAAAAGAAACAGAUAUCAAGUCUAGAGUCCCGAUUACUGUAAUGUGAUGCAGGCGGUAACAAAAGGGUUGAUCUGAAAUAAGCAGUGUGGAAUAAACAAUAAUGAUGGGUUAUGAUCUGCACAACAUGCUGACGUUGCAGCAGUAAACUGCGGCCGCGUUCGCAAAGUGCAUCAAAUGGCUUAUUGACCGUUCGAAAGGUAUGCAGUCGGAUCAGUACAUAAGAGGUUGAGAUACUGCGAAGAAUAAAGUGAAAUGCAGCGUUAACAGAAGUCAAGUCGGCACAUGGAGAGAAGAAUCGACUGAUGUCUAAAGGUCGAAUUAAUAUCGAACUCUUUCUCUAAGGUUUAGAAGCGAGGCCUCUGAUCUUCUGCCCUCUAAACCAGGAGAAAAAAGCCAAAUGUUGUUGGAUGCCACAGGGAGCGAAGCCUCAACCCCGCCAGAAUAAAAGCUUUCAGUCGCAGGGUCACCUCUCUUACCAAGCCCGCCUCAAAUCCACACGGCUUAUCACGAGUCCCAUUUCACAUUGAAACGACCGGCUUGCAGUGACUUUUUCUUUGAGUUGUGUCCGUUGCCGGGCAACAAUAACCUCCUUCAGAUUCUGACAGGUAGUUAUUUCCAGCCUCCAGACACAAGACUCGAGUUUUUAAUUACACGGAUCCGAGCAGGUCCCUCUCCGGCGAAACACAAAAUCUCCAAAGAUGGGACGCGUUUGACGUCCAGUGUGACGCAAACGCAGAUGUUUCAACGCUUUCUAAUAACGGAGCGGCCUGAUCUUUGGUUGGUCCAUUGUUAUGCUGUGAAACUCCUGAAAACUUUCAAAAUAAAGCUCAGAAAAGAAACAGAUAAAAUCGCAUAAUGGAGAUCUUAAAAAGGAGUUUGGGUAACACUUUACAAUAACCAUCAUUUAUAGAUAGUUAUUGAUGUUUAAUCAUCAUUUAAAAACAGCAUAAAGACCAAAUAUAAACAGCAAAUAGUUUAUUAAUGUAAGUAUAUUAGUUACUUUACCAUUAACAAGCAAUGAAAUUAUGAUUUAUAAUUUCAUUAAUUAUUAAUGGACGAUUUAUUAAAGGUUUAAAUAUUGGUUGUAAAACAUCUAGAUUGAAAUGUGUGUCAGUAGCACUUUGUAAAUGGUAAAUAUUUGUUUUUUAAACCAUCUAUAAACAUUAUUUAGAUGGUCAUUGUAAAGGUAGAAUUAUGGUUCCUUUUUUAAAAUUGUAAAAUUUAAAGUUUUUAGGUUUUUAAAAUUUAUUAAUCGUCUAUAUGCUGUUUAUAAAUGAUGAUUAAACCUUAAUAAACAUUUAUAAAUGGUCUAAUUACCAUUGAUAAGUUAUGGUUGUUGUAAAGUGUUAAUGGAGUUUAAAAUGUUUGAACCAGUUUUCACUUUUAAGCAUUUUAAGGACACGUUUAUUGUUCGUCCUUCUACCCAUGUCGUAAUUUGACGACAUUUUUUAAAGUUCGGGGAAUCCCGCCCGAUCAAUUCAUCUGUUUGAGCUUUUAGAAACUGAUCAAACGUUCCAGGAGCACCACAACUUCAGAUCACAAUGACGCAAAAGUUGUACAAAUUAGUUAAAACUCUAAACAUAUGUGGCGUUACAAUCAAUUACAACCUCGUCCACUGUUGCCAGAUUUGUAAUCAACUUUUGUCAAAAUCCGGUCAAAGAAGAGAAAGAAAGUUUGAUAUCAAACUCAGGUGACGUCUUAAAUAAAUCUCGUCCACGCUGUGAAGGACGGAGGAAACAGACUGGGACAGAAAAGAGCGAGCAGGCAGGAUGGUGGGUAGGCGGCAAGGCGGCUGGCUUGUGCUGGUUGCGCUUUUUUGCAGCCCGUCCUUGAAAUAGAAAAGAGGUUACAUUCCAAUAAUAAUUCUAGUAAUUAGUCAGAGUAUUAUUAAAGCGAUGGAGAGUACGUCUGGCUUUAUGGGAGCGGUUCAGUGUGCUACAUACAUCGAGUAAGAGUGGGGGGAGGGGGCGGAUGAAGCAGAAGAGAGUGUGUGUUAACUGUUGUCCCAAAAUAUGUACAAUUUGAGUUUAUUGUCGGCGUUUAUUUCUCCGGUGUGCUUCUUUUUCGCAGCACCUUCUGCAUUUCCUUUUUUUUCCCCCUUUCCUGUCUCCGCCCGGCAGCUGCAGCGUCUCUCUGCCUCGUCCGCCUGAUCUAAAGGUGACAGGGCUCGGGUUCACGGCUGGCAUCUGCUCAGAAUCAUUAUCAAGUGUUUAUUUAAGGCUGCGGAGGUUCGAGUUACCUACCGGGGGCCACCGCGCAACCCGACACCGAGCGCGGUCGAGAGUCCUCGGCCGUGGACAGACGCUGUGUAAAUGCCGUAAACGCGACUUAAGGCGGAGGAGCAAUAUGACACCGGAGUUCAAACUAUUCUUGGUCGUGUAAAGAUGGAAGAAAGGUGGUGAGGCCACGAGAGGAGGCAUGAUAACAAUGUGCAGUGUUCGGUUUCUGGUUUGCUCUGUCCUCUUACGACUUUGUGUUGUUAUAGCUGGAAUUUAAAACCGCCUAUUGAAGCUUUUAACCACAUAUAUAUGUCGUUACUGUUUGGUGUUUUGUUGGAGAAAGCUGCUCGAUUACUUCCUCUAUUACAAUCAAACUCCAUCAGCUGAGGAAGAGCCAUGAAAACUUAUAACUUGAGUCGAAACAUUUUGUCCUUUGAAAGCAGCAAAAACAAAAAAUAUUAAGAAUUGGGUUCAAAAAGAGGCUAAAGUGUUCCCUAAAUGCAUUUUUAAAGAUUAAACUUUCAACAACAGGGCUGGUAGAAAUAAAAAAAAAUAAAAUCCCGAAUUCAAUCUAUGGGUUGUACAGUUUUUAGCAAGCUAGCUAACCUAAAAGCAAAAAAAAUGAAGGUUACAAACUUAGAAACAGAAAACUGAUAACAAAAUGAAGAAUAGGUUUUAAAUGUAACGUAAAAAUUCUCGUCUCUACUUUUGGGGUUUUAACAAAAAAUAUAGCAGCAUUAGCCUCAGGUAUGAAAAUACGAUUCAGGAUAGAGGCCGAACUCCUAUCACAGUACAAACGACACAAAUGUCUCUAGAAUAGCAGAGCUAAAUGACGUGUUUGUUAAAUUUAAGAGAACACUUUUAAUAUCAUUAUAAGCUAGGAAGGUAGAAUGCUAGCCAAAGGCAAUUGUACGCUAGCAAUGUUAUUAUGCUAACUAAAUAGCCUCGAGAACCAGACAAACAAACCAAUUUUUAAAAAAGUUUAAACCUUGCCGAACUAUUUAUCCGGAAAAAUAAACAAGAAUUAGCCAACUGGUUGAAAGCACAACAAAAAAAUGAGGUUACGUAGCCUUUGUAGCUUUUGGGGUUUUACCCAUAAAAUGUAGCAGCAUUAGCCUCAAGUAUGAAAAUACGAUCCAAGAUAGAGGCCAAAUAGCAGCGCUGAAUGACGUAUUUGUCGAAUUUAAGUGAACAUUUGUAACAUCAUUAUUAGCUACAAGUGCAAUGCUAGCCAAAGGCAAUUGUACGCUAGCAAUGUUAUUAUGCUAACUAAAUUAGCCUAAAGCUAAUUUAGUUAGUUAACAAGUAUCUUUAAAAGAGCAGAGGCAAAUGAGUGUUUUUGGACUUUACGUGAACUUUUUUAACAUCAUUAUUAGCUAAGAAGAGCGAACGCUAGCCAAAGGCAGUUGUUCGUUAUCAACGUUAUUAUGCUAACUAAAUUAGCCUAAAGCCUAGAAAAGACAGUCCAAACCAGACCAAGAAAUACCCAAUUAAAAAAAGUUAAAACUCUGCCGAACUUUUCGCUCCCACCAAUAAUCAAGAAUCAGCCGCCCGGUUGAAACUACGA